This 103-nucleotide microRNA precursor is filed under the name Marmota monax (woodchuck). The record is from RNAcentral. Lineage: Eukaryota; Metazoa; Chordata; Mammalia; Rodentia; Sciuridae.
AGUGGGACUGCUGGUUCAUAUGGUAGUUGUAGUUUUAAUUUUUUGAGGAAGCUUCAUCUUAUUUUCUGUAAUGGCUGUACCUAUUUACAUUCCUACCAACAGU